Molecule: ribosomal RNA, 253 nt
Filed under: uncultured bacterium
Lineage: Bacteria
Description: partial 16S ribosomal RNA
Rfam family: Bacterial small subunit ribosomal RNA
Source: RNAcentral
UACGGAGGGAGCUAGCGUUGUUCGGAAUUACUGGGCGUAAAGCGCACGUAGGCGGCUUUGUAAGUUAGAGGUGAAAGCCCGGGGCUCAACCCCGGAAUUGCCUUUAAGACUGCAUCGCUUGAAUCCGGGAGAGGUGAGUGGAAUUCCGAGUGUAGAGGUGAAAUUCGUAGAUAUUCGGAGGAACACCAGUGGCGAAGGCGGCUCACUGGACCGGCAUUGACGCUGAGGUGCGAAAGCGUGGGGAGCAAACAGG